Molecule: ribosomal RNA, 400 nt
Filed under: Salmonella enterica subsp. enterica serovar Saintpaul
Lineage: Bacteria; Pseudomonadati; Pseudomonadota; Gammaproteobacteria; Enterobacterales; Enterobacteriaceae
Description: bacterial LSU rRNA
Rfam family: Bacterial large subunit ribosomal RNA
Source: RNAcentral
GUCACACUAUCAUUAACUGAAUCCAUAGGUUAAUGAGGCGAACCGGGGGAACUGAAACAUCUAAGUACCCCGAGGAAAAGAAAUCAACCGAGAUUCCCCCAGUAGCGGCGAGCGAACGGGGAGGAGCCCAGAGCCUGAAUCAGCAUGUGUGUUAGUGGAAGCGUCUGGAAAGGCGCGCGAUACAGGGUGACAGCCCCGUACACAAAAGCGCAUGUGCUGUGAGCUCGAUGAGUAGGGCGGGACACGUGGUAUCCUGUCUGAAUAUGGGGGGACCAUCCUCCAAGGCUAAAUACUCCUGACUGACCGAUAGUGAACCAGUACCGUGAGGGAAAGGCGAAAAGAACCCCGGCGAGGGGAGUGAAAAAGAACCUGAAACCGUGUACGUACAAGCAGUGGGAGC